AUUCGCUGUGUGACUCAGGGCAAGUGUGCGCACCUCUCUGAGCCUCCGCGGCCUUCUCUAGCAAAAUGGUGGAGCCGGUACCCGGCUGUAAGGCAAGCUGGGAUGCGCGGAGUAGCGGGUGGAAAGCUGGACUGGAGUUCUCACUCGGCCGCUGGGUGACUUCGGUGCACUAGGGAUAGUAACAGUACCACCUCGUAGGGUUGUAGAAAGACCAAGUGAGUUAAUAUUUGUAAAGUGUUUAGAACAGCGUCUACUGCAUGGAAAGUAGUAUUUAUUUGUUAGAGAGACUCCAGGAGGUCUUGCCCAGUGAUUGACUUCUCCCUUCCCUGUCUCCACCCCCCACAUUCCCGUUUGUGAGCCAAGCCUUGCUUUUGCACCGGCCGGGCUCUCUUGCCUGGAAAUGCAUACCCAUCUCAAACCUGGGCUUUAAAAUCACCUCCUCUGGGACGCCUUCCUCUACUUCUCACAGUUUAGGCCUGUUCUGCCCCACACAGCAGAAAAUGCCCACGAUGCAAUACCAGAGUCUGCAUGGGACCAUUUCAACAACCCUUAGAAGCUGACUCAGCUGUCUCCUGGCCCUGACUUUUCUAAGAUGAGAGGAGCUGAUAGGAACAAUUUGGGAACCCUCAAAGGCUGAGAGUAUCCCACCCACUUCACAGAUGAAGCAAACUGAGGCCCAGAGAAGGGAAAUUACUUGCCCAAGAUCACCCAGCAAGUAAGAAACAGAGCUGGAGAUGAGCUCAGGCCAGCACGGAACCACGCAAACUCCUUCUGUAGGCUUUAUAAAGGGUUGAUGAGAAAAGCAGAUGGUUAAGAGCUCUACAACUUCUGUGAGGUAAAGAAUAUCUUCAGGGCUGGACGUGGCGGCUCUUGCCUGUAAUCUUAGCACUUUGGGAGGCCAAAGUGGGUGGAUUGCUUGAGUCUAUGAGUUCAAGACCAGCCUGGGCAACAUGGUAAAACUCUGUCUCUCUAAAAAAAAAAAAAAAAAAAAUUAGCUGAGUGUGGUGUUGUGUGCUUGUAGUCCCAGCUACUUUGGAGGCUGAAGCGGAAGGAUCCCUUGGCCCAGGAGGCAGAGGUUGCAGUGAGCUGAGAUUGUGCCACUGCACUUCAGCUUGGGUGACAGAGCCAGACCUUAUUUAAAAAAAAAAAAGGAUAUCUGUGAUUACAAGAUUACAAUGCAAUUUUGAAAGCCUGCUGUUGCCCAGCUGGACAGCUAGAGUUAUUCUCAGUGGUGGGAUGGCUGAACUGGGGGCCCACUGUGGAGAGCUGGUUUCCCACUGGAGUUCUCUGAAAAGGUGCCUGAUUUCACAGCUCUGAUUCUACAGAAGGAGGCCGGGCCCUUCACGUAAUUGCUACCCUUUAUUUAUGGAGCUAUUCCUCUGUCGGGAUGCCCUUUAUAUGUGUACAGUCUGUGCUGCAGUCGAUUCUUAUAGUGAUUCUAUGCAGAAGGUGCUUUAGAGGAGGCUGCUGGGGCGCAGGGUGGGUAGGUACCUUGUCAGCAUGGUGGGGCUGGGUCUCCAGCUGGUUGGGACCCCACCCUCCUAUCAUGGCCCAGGAGUGAGGCAUUCAGGGCUGGACCACCAGCGUUUGUGAAGCUUUGUGCCCCAUUAUCCCAUCAGAACAUCUUCUUGGCCCUGGCAGGCAGCCAGGGCAGGGCCAUUCUCCACCUUACUGACAAAGAAGCCCAGGGAGGGGAAGAGGGUGCUCCCCCAGCACCUCCAUUGCCUCUGCCUGCUUAGUCCAGAAUGCAGGAUAGAGAAAUAAUGGGAAAAGCUCCCAAGUGUUGCUGGAUCUCUGCCUGCCAGGGAAGCUGUGACCUCAGUAAGGGCAGGGUGUUCCUUCCAGGGAACUCGAGGUGGGGCAGGAUGGGUAGGGAGUGAGAUCAGAGGGAAGGCCAUGUUGGGAAGAUGGGAAGGCAAGUCUCUGGGGGUUUGUGGGAUAGAGGAAGGGAACAUCAUAGAACAGGCCAGGAAUAGGAGCUUGACCUGGAGAUUACUUUGCAGCAGGUUUAAACAGGGGCCAUGUGAGAGUGUGGAGCCCUGGGGUCAGAGGUUACUGGAUGCAAAUUAUGACUCUGCCACUUAUGGGAAUGGUGAGUUUGGACAAAUGAUUUCCCUGGGCCUCAGGGUCUUCAUGUAUAAAAGGGCUGAAGCUCAGUGGGUAACUGGAGCACUGCCUGGGUUAGAUCCUGGCUCCACCCCUUACCAGUGUGACCUAGGGUGAAUGAGUUCACCUCUCUGGGCAUCAGUGUCCUUGUCUCUAAGAUGGACUUGAUAAUAAUGAAAGCUACCCCUCACAGGGCUGUGGUGAGGAUGAAGGGGUCUGGCAGCACAUGUAGAAUUCUUAGAGCAGGCUUUUUUCCUGCAGAGUCUUUGUUGCUAUCAUCAUCAUCAUCAUCAUCAUCAUCCUCAUCCUCAUCAUCAUCUACCUCCAGGGAUUCUUGGGGGGCUUAAACAAGGCAGGUUGUACAAAUUAUCUGGCACAGACGUCAUUAAAUAAUAACAGGGCAGAGUGACGGGUGCUGUGAUACAGGGAAGUGCUGGGAGAGACACAGGAAAGAGAAAAGACUUCUGUCUGGCUGGGUGGAAGAAGGGUGUGGAAGGUAUGGAAGCCAAGGGAAAACUUCCCCUUUGCCCUCUGAAGGUUCACUGAAAAGUCAGCUGACAAAAGGCAGAUGAAUAGCAGAAAUGGCAUGCAAAUUUAUUAAUGCGCACACAGGGAGAACCACAGAGUGAUUGAUUACUCCUCACUCUGCAAUGGGGUGCAGAAGCUUAUAUGCCAUCUUGAGGUUACAGAAAGAAUGGGGGCUUGGGGCCUGAGCGCAGUGGCUCAUGCCUGUAUUCCCACCACUUUGGGAGGCCAAGGUGGGUGGAUCACCUGAGGUCAGGAGUUUGAGACCACCCUGACCAACAUGAAACCCCGUCUCUACUAAAAAUACAAAAAAUUAGCCGGGUGUUGUGGUGCGCACCUGUAAUUCCAGCUACUCGGGAGGCUGAGGCAGGAGAAUCACUUGAACCAGGGAUGCUGAGGUUGCAUGAGCUGAGAUCGCACUGCUGCCCUCCAGCCUGGGCAAAAAGAGC
Molecule: small RNA, 3080 nt
Filed under: Pan troglodytes (chimpanzee)
Lineage: Eukaryota; Metazoa; Chordata; Mammalia; Primates; Hominidae
Description: retained intron
Source: RNAcentral